ACCUUCUCCAAAAUAAACUUUACCCUUGCAAAAGGUCAGUGAAGUAAUUAACAAAUUGAAUAUUUGCACUUGCCAUGUGUUGUCUAUUCAUUCGUCUACUUUUACAAUUGUGUACUUUCUUUAACAUUUCCCUCCUCACCUUUCCUCUCUCUUCACGAUUCAAAUUAUCAUUCUCUCUUCUCUCUUCUCUCUUCUCAAACCCUAAAAGUGAUUGAACAAGCAAAACCUAGGACACGCCUCCCCGCCGUCCAAACAGUUGAAGCACAGAAGAUAAAUCAGUUUUGUCAUCUUUAUUGAUUUCUCAUAUCUUUGUUGUAUUUUCAUGUUUGAAGCUAUUAUUCAAAAUUUAAAGGUAGUGUUUGAAGAUUCAAAGGUAUUCGUUUGGAAAAUAGCUUUGAAGAAAAUGUAUAGAUCUACUUUUGUGUGUCUUAAUUGUGUUAACAUGGAUUUCAACUGGUUUGAAGCUAUUAUUUUAUGGUUUAUGAUGUUUUUGUUUGGAUUAAUUUGUUCUGAGUUCUAAUUUUUGUUUCACUUUGCUGUGUUCUUUGAUUUUUUCCCAUUUUUUCCAUUUAUGCGUGGCAAGAAGAUACAUCCAGAUCCAGUAAAUGUAUUCUUUAAUCUCAUACAUGGUAGAACGUGUCGGUACCGGUAUUUUUGGUGUUGCUUAUCAGAAUGCACCAAUGGCGGCGAUCGACGACAUGUACCAAUUCCUUUCCGCGUGUAUAUUGUCAAUUGAUGGACGAUUUUGAGACUCCCCUUUCAAUUUUGGACUGCUGAAUUUGUUAUUUAUAAGCGGAAAGAGAUGAGAAAGAUUAGUCAAAGAAGAUUUUACACUUGUGAUGAAGGAGUUUGAAGAGCUUAGCAUUGAUCAGUCUGGUAAUAAAAGUGAUGCCAAGUCUCGAAAACUUUCAAUUCGCAACCAACUUUCGCUGUUGGUUGGAGAUAGGGACGAUGACUUCACCAUUCCCUUAGGUAAAAACUUGAAGAAAGUGAGUGCAAAAUUCUUAACAACUUCACAAAGGAGAAAUAUCAAGAGACAAAAUUAUCUAAAUAAAGUUUCUCAAAGAAAUGAUUCAACUUUUUUUGCAACUAUAUGAGCAUUUGAGAUUCUUCCACCUCUUAUAAUACUAGGAAUAUCUAUAUUAACUGGUUAUUAUGUAUAGCUUUUACCUUAAGACAUGAUCAAUUUUCUCCUGAUUUCUGUAAAUAUUUCAAGCAGGUGUUAGAACCUUGACCAGGUCAAUACUAUAUACCAUAGACUAUAGUUUAAUUUAAUUGAAUAUUUUGGUGUAGAUUUCUUGUAGGAGUGUUUAUGUAUAGUGUUAUAUUUUGCAACUUUUGUGUGGUUGAAGUGUGAGGAAAUUUUGUCAGUCUAUCUUUGAAAUAUUUCUUUAACUGUGGUAUGUGAUUCUUUUAAAAUCUUAUUUUUUUAUCAAUUCUACAUGGUCUUAAGAAAAGUAAUAUCUAUAUUUUAAUUUGUAAAUGCUUGUGGUUUGGAACAAACAAGUUGCGGUAUUGUUGAUAUUAUGUGAGGAAGGUGCUUACCUCUUGCAAUGAUUUGCAUCAAAAGAAGCAAUUAAGUUACAUUAUUGCACGUAAUGUAAGUCCUAGAUUCUGUCCUAUUGCUCUGAAUAUGUCUACGGAUUUUCCUCUUGGUGAUAUAAUAGAUGUA
This is a long non-coding RNA of Vicia villosa (hairy vetch), 1672 nucleotides long. RefSeq lists it as uncharacterized. NCBI's taxonomy places the organism in Eukaryota, Viridiplantae, Streptophyta, Magnoliopsida, Fabales, Fabaceae. The transcript has 4 exons. The record is from RefSeq and is a predicted model, not a curated record.